CCUACGGGGGGCAGCAGUGAGGAAUAUUGGUCAAUGGACGAGAGUCUGAACCAGCCAAGUAGCGUGAAGGAUGACUGCCCUAUGGGUUGUAAACUUCUUUUAUAUGGGAAUAAAACGUUCCACGUGUGGGAUUUUGUAUGUCCCAUAUGAAUAAGGAUCGGCUAACUCCGUGCCAGCAGCCGCGGUAAUACGGAGGAUCCGAGCGUUAUCCGGAUUUAUUGGGUUUAAAGGGAGCGUAGGUGGAUUGUUAAGUCAGUUGUGAAAGUUUGCGGCUCAACCGUAAAAUUGCAGUUGAAACUGGCAGUCUUGAGUACAGUAGAGGUGGGCGGAAUUCGUGGUGUAGCGGUGAAAUGCUUAGAUAUCACGAAGAACUCCGAGUGCGAAGGCAGUUCACUGGACUGCAACUGACACUGAGGCUCGAAAGUGUGGGUAUCAAACAGGAUUAGAUACCCGUGUAGUC
This 460-nucleotide ribosomal RNA is filed under the name uncultured bacterium. RNAcentral's name for it is "partial 16S ribosomal RNA". It matches the Rfam family "Bacterial small subunit ribosomal RNA", at positions 338 to 795 of the family's 1533-position model. The record is from RNAcentral.